GACGAACGCUGGCGGCGUGCUUAACACAUGCAAGUCGAACGGAAAGGCCCUGCUUUUGUGGGGUGCUCGAGUGGCGAACGGGUGAGUAACACGUGAGUAACCUGCCCUUGACUUGGGGAUAACUUCAGGAAACUGGGGCUAAUACCGGAUAGGAGCUCCUGCUGCAUGGUGGGGGUUGGAAAGUUUCGGCGGUUGGGGAUGGACUCGCGGCUUAUCAGCUUGUUGGUGGGGUAGUGGCUUACCAAGGCUUUGACGGGUAGCCGGCCUGAGAGGGUGACCGGCCACAUUGGGACUGAGAUACGGCCCAGACUCCUACGGGAGGCAGCAGUGGGGAAUAUUGCACAAUGGGCGGAAGCCUGAUGCAGCAACGCCGCGUGCGGGAUGACGGCCUUCGGGUUGUAAACCGCUUUCGCCUGUGACGAAGCGUGAGUGACGGUAAUGGGUAAAGAAGCACCGGCUAACUACGUG
RNAcentral lists this ribosomal RNA (468 nucleotides) under uncultured bacterium. Its description in RNAcentral is "partial 16S ribosomal RNA". It matches the Rfam family "Bacterial small subunit ribosomal RNA", at positions 28 to 507 of the family's 1533-position model. The record is from RNAcentral.